GGACCUGUGGUGUAGAGGAUAUCACUUUAGCCUCCGGAGCUUAGAACCCGGGUUCGAUUCCCGGCAGGUCCU
Transfer RNA from Methanohalophilus mahii DSM 5219, 72 nucleotides. It matches the Rfam family "tRNA". Rfam says of the family: Transfer RNA (tRNA) molecules are approximately 80 nucleotides in length. Their secondary structure includes four short double-helical elements and three loops (D, anti-codon, and T loops). Further hydrogen bonds mediate the characteristic L-shaped molecular structure. tRNAs have two regions of fundamental functional importance: the anti-codon, which is responsible for specific mRNA codon recognition, and the 3' end, to which the tRNAs corresponding amino acid is attached (by aminoacyl-tRNA synthetases). tRNAs cope with the degeneracy of the genetic code in two manners: having more than one tRNA (with a specific anti-codon) for a particular amino acid; and 'wobble' base-pairing, i.e. permitting non-standard base-pairing at the 3rd anti-codon position. NCBI's taxonomy places the organism in Archaea, Methanobacteriati, Methanobacteriota, Methanomicrobia, Methanosarcinales, Methanosarcinaceae. The record is from Rfam.